Molecule: non-coding RNA, 72 nt
Organism: Paramuricea clavata
Lineage: Eukaryota; Metazoa; Cnidaria; Anthozoa; Malacalcyonacea; Plexauridae
Source: the annotation of a GenBank genome assembly
GACCGCGUAGCUCAGUGGCAGAGCAUUGGGCUAGUAUUCCAAAGGUCGUAGGUUCGAUACCCACCGUGAUCA